This 508-nucleotide antisense RNA is filed under the name Actinosynnema mirum DSM 43827. RNAcentral describes it as "Saccharopolyspora sRNA 350". It matches the Rfam family "Saccharopolyspora sRNA 350". Lineage: Bacteria; Bacillati; Actinomycetota; Actinomycetes; Pseudonocardiales; Pseudonocardiaceae. The record is from Rfam by way of RNAcentral.
UUGACGGUGAAGUCCCAGACGCCCUGCGGACCGGCCAGGCACUGGCCGCCGAAGUGGUCGCCGUCGGCGAGCACGCCGAGCACGGUCUGGUCGCCGUACUCGGUCUCGCCGAUCUUGUUGACCCGGCCGUGCGCGACCAGGUGCACGGCGUCCUGGGUGCGCCCGCGCUCCACGACGACCUCGCCCGCGGCGAACUCGCGCUGCUUGAAGCGGGAGGCGAGCGCGGCCAGCACGGCCACGUCCUCGAACCCGCGCAGCAGCGGCAGCUCGCACAGCUCCUGCGGCACGACCUGCACGGCGGCGCCGGUGUUGGUGAAGGUCAGCCUGCCGUCGCCGACCGCGUAGCUGAGCCUGCGGUUGACCCGGAACGCGCCACCGGCCGCCUGCUCCCACGGCAGGACCUUGAGCAGCCACCGCGAGGUGAUGUUCUGCAUCUGCGGGGCGGACUUGGUGGUGGUCGCGAGGUUGCGGGCAGCCGCAGUGCCGAGGCUCAGCUGAGGGCGCUCGG